This is a long non-coding RNA of Hordeum vulgare subsp. vulgare (domesticated barley), 2489 nucleotides long. RefSeq lists it as uncharacterized. The transcript has 6 exons. The record is from RefSeq and is a predicted model, not a curated record. Lineage: Eukaryota; Viridiplantae; Streptophyta; Magnoliopsida; Poales; Poaceae.
CCCCAAUCUCACCCCUCUCUCUCUCUAUCUCUCUCUCUCUCGGCACCCACACAAAACACACACCCUAAACCUAACCCUACCGCGCCGCCACCCCCGACUUGCACGCCGCCGCCCAUCCGCUGCCUCCCUCACCCCCACAUCAUCUCCGACUCAAGCUCCCUCCAGCCCGUCCCCAUGACCUAGCAACAUCCAUCCAUGUCGUCGUGUUCGCAUGCUCCGGCGUUCCAUCGCAGCCACACCUCAUCGUCCGCCACCGUAGCCACACCCCGUUGUCCGUCGCCACAGCCACACCCCGUCGUCCGCCGCUGCAUCCACAUCCCCUACGACCUCCCCUCCACGACGUACCGAUCUGGCCUCACGGGCGCAACCCGCAUCUCCGAUCUCCCCUCCGAGGCGCCCUGCUCCAGACUUGUCGAUGCUUCAUGCGUCUGCGGCCUCCCCUCUAUGGCUCCCUUUAUCGGCUCCCUCCCUGAAGCGGCCCAUACCAUGGGACUCCCUUCCUCCCCAUCAGCAGCUCACACGGGAUGGAGGGAGUCGUCCCGUCGGCCAUGGCAGUAGGGGUGCCUCAAAUGACCUCAAACCCACUGGUUCCUCUCCCUGAUGAGCAAGUGUUCAAUUCCUCAAAUACCUGAUGUGUAGCAUUUUAUCUGUUAGAAGUAAAUUUCUUAUUUUUCUCCUACUGGUUCGUUGGAGUUUUAUUUGUUCAUGGAGCAUAUUUGCUAGUUUCUCUAGUCGUACACAUGUCGUGGUUCAUGAGCAUGUAACAAGAACAAUUAGGGAUUCGCUAGAUCUAUUUGUGAAGCAGCUAGUUUAAUAAUUCCUGUGAGAUGCAAGCAGGUGGUUCAUUCGAUUUUUAUUGGAAGUUGUUAGUACAGGAUAUUGCAACUUUGCAAGAAGAGUUCCUCAAAAAAUAUUGCAAGCACAUGCUAGUCUGGUCAUUACCUAGCCUGCUUACGAUAGCAAUAAACAUGGGAUGUUUUGACUUCCUAGUUAGAUGAAUGGAGUAAUAAACUAUUAUCCCAUUUUUUUGUUAUUCCGUGAUUUUGAACUCUCGUCUGCUCACUCCUUGUUAUUUCCUGAUUUGCAUUGAUAUGAGAAUAUGCAAGAUAUUUGCACUGAUAAUCUAUUAUGCAUUUUGUGGUGAGAUGUUUCUCUAUAUGAAAUCCUUUUAUUUUUAGGCCAGACCAUUAAUUAUAUUGCCAUACAAAUCUUUCUAUUAAAAAAUUGUGAAUGACAAUACGUAAGCUAACUCUAAAUUGCAUUGAUGCUGUCGAGUGGCGACAGAUGCUAUUGCCGAAGAUUUGACCUUAUACCGCAUUAAAUAAAAUAAUCAUGAUUUUCAUUUUUUUUCUUCCUCCCCGUCCUAUUUAUAUAAUAUUAUUCUUGCAGUUUCCCAUAUAUCAAGAUCUGCUCAUGCUCGCCAUAGAUUUGGAUGGAUAGCAGAUUCUUUUUGGAAGGAGAAGAGAGAUAAUAUAGGGUCGCUUGGUUUACUAGCUACUACUGACUUUGAUAGUAUGAGCUUUCUAGAUAUAAGGGACAUGACAUGCUGGCACCAUUCAUAGAUGGAUGGCAAAGCAAUGGUGUGCAUCCGUUGGUUAUUCAGAGAUCUAAGUUCUUAUGUUUAUGACAUCAACGGGAAUAAGUAUCCAGAUUCUGUAGAAGGAUUGUGGUGUACACCUUUAGCCACUGAACAAACCAAGGUAAAGAAAGACAAACAAGGAAAAGGCUAGCUGUUGACUGGCGGUGAUGAACUGACAGAUAGUGUGGCAGAAGAAAGUGUGCUCUCAACAGCGGCUCAUGAAGUAUUUUUUCCUUUGCAUGUUGAUCACUAUUCACUACUGCACUAUUCAGGUUCUUAAUCAAGUGACUAUAUGCCAAUGGUUGUGGGUUUCAAGCAAGGGAAUGGUGGAGGUGGUGAUUGAAGAGCCCUUAAUCAAUUCAGACUCGUAGAUUGGAGUAGCAACAUGGGAUAUUGCACCAUGUAGCUCCCUUUGUGUGAUUCAUCUUCUUUUCUUGGUCCAUCAACUAGAGCAAUCGACAGGAUCAUCAGUUGGACAUGGCCUUACAAAAUGUGUGCAUCAUAUGGACACGACCAAGAGUUCCAAGAAGAAUGUGUGGUGCCCCUCUCGAAACAUAGGGACAUUGGAAGAAAGUAGCUAGUCCACAAGUUGAUCGAAGAAGUUCCAAUGAUCACUUUUGUUCAUAACAUGGUAGAAACAUUUUUUUCAUAUGGAAGUUGAUGCCGGCUUGGUGAUUGAAGCAAUGGUCUCUUUCAUUAUAUUUUGUACGAGUCAAUUGAUCGAACAAUUGGUCUCUUAGGAGGCUAGACCUUAUAUUUCACAACAGAUUACAUCUUGUAUGGAUGACUUCCGUAAUUCCUUCAUGGUUGUAGCAACUUGAGUGAAGAUAGCUAAUCUUCAAUAUAUGUUGUGAAUAAAUGUACUAUUCAAUGGUAUCUUUUGAUUAAUAGAGGCGUGCAAUUAUUCUUA